CAUAGGGUAUAUUUCAGGCUUUCCUAUAUCACAAAAUAUUCCCAGGAUAUUCCUGAUUUCCACGAAUCAAUCCCGUACAAACCCACAAAUUGUCAAAGCUAAAACACCUACCUUGCAGGAUUAACAAUUCUACUGGGCUCUGCCUAUCCAAUGGCAAUUCUAUUAUUUAUUGUCCCUAGUCCCUACAGAUCUGAUAGAAUCCGCUCUGCCUUACCACUGAGCUAGUAUACAGCUAGGGACUGUUCCUCAAACUCAAGGGUCUUACAGUAGAGUGGGCUAUCCCCUAGGUCGAGCUCCUAUACUACCUCACCCUGCAACCCAGCACCUUCUCAGGAUCGUCCAGGCCAGAUAGUCGACCUUACGACACUAUGAGUGGACACUCUCUCCUGGGUUGGUUUAGUCCAGAAUCACCCCUCAUAUGACUCCUACCAAUGCACUCAGUACCUUUAGUUGGGUCUCAGGUUCCUUCAUACCAGCAAUUCAGGUUCCCGAUGGACUAAUUAACCAGAUGCUAUAAAUCCUCAAUUAAUCCAGUGUGUUUCAGAAACCAGGAGUAAAACGACAUGCACUCCUAUGACUCUUUGAUGACACCGAGUUUCAGAACAAUAAAACAAGUUUAUUCAAAAUUCCAGAAACAGGCAUUAAAAAUCACAGAUCAAUCAAUCAAUCAUAAAUCAAUAUCCCCAAUCGAUGAUAAGCAAAAAUAUAACUUGGAUUAAAUUGAGAGAUGCCUUCAGCGCCCAUAACUAAACCCUUAUCUAAACCCUUAUUAGUGUGUGUCAAUAAAAUAUGUUUGGUCUAUAACAAUUUUAUGAGAAGCACAGUGUUCAAUAACAAGAAAAACAAGUUCUUACCUUCUACAAAUUAUAAACAGAUUUUUGUCUCCCCCUUCAGGUUUCUCAGUCCCUCAGUUGGUGUCUAAAAAACUAACAGCUACUAGAACACUCCUAUCAGUGAGGUAACCUUUAGGGUUCCUCCUAGAAUGUACUAGAACAUUCCUAUCAAUGAGGUAACCUUUAGGGUUCCUCCUAGAAUGUACUAGAACACUUCUAUCAAUGAGGUAACCUUUAGGGUUCCUCCUAGAAUGUACUAGAACACUCCUAUCAGUGAGGUAACCUUUAGGGUUCCUCCUAGAAUGUACUAGAACACUCCUAUCAAUGAGGUAACCUUUAGGGUUCCUCCUAGAAUGUACUAGAACACUCCUAUCAAUGAGGUAACAUUCAGGGUUCCUCCUAGAAUGUACUAGAACACUUUCAGAAUAAAAAACCAAGUAUAUUAAAAAUCUAAAUGAAUCUGAAGUUAAAAAGCUUCAGUAAAAGUCUUUCUCCAGCAGACGACAGGUUCUUCUAGCAAACUCAAAGAGAGUCAUUCCCUUCCCAUGAAACCUGCUUCCUUUAUACCCUUAAUGCCUCUUCUGAUAAAUCAUCAGGAUGACCACCUGCUCCACUGAUGCCUUCGGUGGUUAACACCUAAUGAAUGCAUCCAUCUUCUCAAAAGGUGCUUUUUCAGCCCCCACUAACCUCCACGUUUUCCCACCUAGGCAGAACGUACGCUUCAACCUACUUGCUGCUCUGACCUGGGGAUUUCCAGAUCAAGCUAGCACCCUUAAUAUACUUCAUGAACAUCAACUUCUUAAAACAUACAUUUUUCAAACAUGAAACUUUCCUAUUCCCUUCACCCUCCUACCUUUAACUAAAUUAUAGUCUUUCUACAACCUAAUUUAUUACUCAAGUUAUAUCUCAAUACAUCAAUAUUUUAAACAUUUCAACAUUAUAACAUUUUACCAUUAUAACGUCUCAUUAUCAACCUCCUAAGGCCUUGUCCUCUAAGCCUAAUCAAACACAGUCUAUAUGAUUCACACCUUAAGGAAAACAACAUUAUAUCUCCCAAUGUUUAAUAACCUGUCUACAGGAAAGAACCUCAGUCUACCUUUGUACAUUACCAAACAGGAAAGAACCUCAGUCUACCUCUGUACAUUACCAAACAGGAAAGAACCUCAGUCUACCUCUGUACAUUACCAAACAGGAAAGAACCUCAGUCUACCUCUGUACAUUACCAAA
Molecule: long non-coding RNA, 2060 nt
Filed under: Salmo salar (Atlantic salmon)
Lineage: Eukaryota; Metazoa; Chordata; Actinopteri; Salmoniformes; Salmonidae
Description: lncRNA (ENSSSAG00000083205.1)
Source: RNAcentral